GGGCACGACACCGGAGAGGGAGCCUGAGAAACGGCUACCACAUCCAAGGAUGGCAGCAGGCGCGCAAAUUACCCAAUCCCGACACGGGGAGGUAGUGACAAUAAAUAACAAUACGGGGUUCUUUAGGAUCUCGUAAUUGGAAUGAGUACAAUUUAAAUCUCUUAACGAGGAACAAUUGGAGGGCAAGUCUGGUGCCAGCAGCCGCGGUAAUUCCAGCUCCAAUAGCGUAUAUUAAAGUUGUUGCAGUUAAAAAGCUCGUAGUUGAAUUUCGGGGUUAGUAGGUUGGUCAUGCCUCUGGUAUGUACUGGUCUCACUGAUUCCUCCUUCCUUAUGAACCGUAAUGCCAUUAAUUUGGUGUUGCGGGGAAUUUGGACUGUUACUUUGAAAAAAUUAGAGUGUUUAAAGCAAGCUAACGCUUGAAUACAUUAGCAUGGAAUAAUGAAAUAGGACGUUCGAUCUUAUUUUGUUGGUUUCUAGGAUUGACGUAAUGAUUAAUAGGGAUAGUUGGGGGCAUUAGUAUUCAAUUGUCAGAGGUGAAAUUCUUGGAUUUAUUGAAGACUAACUACUGCGAAAGCAUUUGCCAAGGAUGUUUUCAUUAAUCAAGAACGAAAGUUAGGGGAUCGAAGACGAUCAGAUACCGUCGUAGUCUUAACCAUAAACUAUGCCGACUAGGGAUCGGAUGAUGUUAAUUUUUUAAUGACUCAUUCGGCGCCUUACGGGA
RNAcentral lists this ribosomal RNA (721 nucleotides) under uncultured Glomeromycotina. RNAcentral describes it as "SSU rRNA". It matches the Rfam family "Eukaryotic small subunit ribosomal RNA", at positions 373 to 1095 of the family's 1831-position model. Lineage: Eukaryota; Fungi; Glomeromycota. The record is from RNAcentral.